CAAGCAUCCUUCUCGCCACGCUUUGGUCAUUUUAACCAAAAGUAGUUUAAUACGACGAGGAUCCACUUUCUUACAUACUAUAUAUUACGACAUAUUUAGAAUAGCAUUAUAUGAUAUGAGAUACCUAGUUAUAUUGUUACUAUAUUAGACAUUGUUACUAUAUUAGACUCAUCUCUUGUACUAUAUAACAUCAUCAAUAGAAUCCAUGAGGGUAUGUUUUUUGCCCUUCUUUCAUGGUAUCAGAGCAGGAACCCUAAUUUAGAAAUAUCGAUCCAUAGCCACUAUCCACCACAAGUCUCACCUUCUUCCAUAGGUACCUUUUUCUUUUGGUAUUCUAUCUCCCCUUAUCCUUGGAUUUUUAUCUCCCCGGUAUUGCUCAGUACCGGCACUACAGUACUGGUGCUACAGUAUC
Molecule: long non-coding RNA, 412 nt
Filed under: Ananas comosus (pineapple)
Lineage: Eukaryota; Viridiplantae; Streptophyta; Magnoliopsida; Poales; Bromeliaceae
Description: long non-coding RNA (ACOM_LNC022194)
Source: RNAcentral